Long non-coding RNA from Bos taurus (domestic cattle), 472 nucleotides. NCBI's taxonomy places the organism in Eukaryota, Metazoa, Chordata, Mammalia, Artiodactyla, Bovidae. The record is from Ensembl.
GCAGUGAAGGAGACAUAGGAGACGCAGUUUCAAUCCCUGGGUUGGGAAGAUCCCAUGGAGAAGGAAAUGGCAACCCACUCCAGUAUUCUUGCCUGGAGAAUCCCAUAGUCAGAGGAGCCUGGCUGGUUACAGCCCAUGGGGGUCACAAAGAGCCGAACACGACUGAAGUGGCUUAGUACAUCAAGCUUUUUAACGUUCGCCUUUUGAGCCAUGUUACCUGAUGCGACGACACAUCAUGCAGUGAUAGUCUCUGGGGCCUACUGGACAGCAGCUACGCAGGAUCUGAGGCUUUGGAUGUGAACAACACACUGGUCCAAGAAAAUCCACAGGAGAGCCCAGAAAAGCACGGUGGUUUUUCUCCCACAUUGAUCUCUUCUGUAAUAAUGGAAUGUGCAGAGUAAAUGGAACUCCAUUUGCUCCUUUGGCUGCUUGAGAACCAUUAAGACCCUGUUAACAUCACUCAUCUAAUAAG